Molecule: ribosomal RNA, 635 nt
Filed under: Burkholderia sp. Mf95
Lineage: Bacteria; Pseudomonadati; Pseudomonadota; Betaproteobacteria; Burkholderiales; Burkholderiaceae
Description: bacterial SSU rRNA
Rfam family: Bacterial small subunit ribosomal RNA
Source: RNAcentral
AGUCGAACGGCAGCGCGGGAGCAAUCCUGGCGGCGAGUGGCGAACGGGUGAGUAAUACAUCGGAACGUGUCCUGUAGUGGGGGAUAGCCCGGCGAAAGCCGGAUUAAUACCGCAUACGAUCUACGGAUGAAAGCGGGGGAUCGCAAGACCUCGCGCUAUAGGGGCGGCCGAUGGCGGAUUAGCUAGUUGGUGGGGUAAAGGCCCACCAAGGCGACGAUCCGUAGCUGGUCUGAGAGGACGACCAGCCACACUGGGACUGAGACACGGCCCAGACUCCUACGGGAGGCAGCAGUGGGGAAUUUUGGACAAUGGGCGCAAGCCUGAUCCAGCAAUGCCGCGUGUGUGAAGAAGGCCUUCGGGUUGUAAAGCACUUUUGUCCGGAAAGAAAUCCUCUGGGUUAAUACCCCGGGGGGAUGACGGUACCGGAAGAAUAAGCACCGGCUAACUACGUGCCAGCAGCCGCGGUAAUACGUAGGGUGCGAGCGUUAAUCGGAAUUACUGGGCGUAAAGCGUGCGCAGGCGGUGAUGCUAGACCGAUGUGAAAUCCCCGGGCUUAACCUGGGAACUGCAUUGGUGACUGCAUCGCUGGAGUAUGGCAGAGGGGGGUAGAAUUCACGUGUAGCAGUGAAAUGCGU